This 715-nucleotide ribosomal RNA is filed under the name uncultured Clavaria. RNAcentral describes it as "eukaryotic LSU rRNA". The stretch from base 282 to 435 matches the Rfam family "5.8S ribosomal RNA". The record is from RNAcentral. Lineage: Eukaryota; Fungi; Basidiomycota; Agaricomycetes; Agaricales; Clavariaceae.
CUUGGUCAUUUAGAGGAAGUAAAAGUCGUAACAAGGUUUCCGUAGGUGAACCUGCGGAAGGAUCAUUAUUGAUUUUUAAAGAUGUGCGGGCACUCCUUCACCGGUUUGCAUGUGCACUCUGCAAAAUCUCCUUCUCUUACCCCACUGUGCACACCCAAGUAGACAAACAGAGUUACAGAGCAAUCUGUGUAAUUCCUGAUUUGCCUAUGUUUUUAUCAAACACCAAUAACAAUAUCAGAAUGAUCUAUAUAGUAAGCUUUUAACAAGCUGAAAUUUAAUACAACUUUCAACAAUGGAUCUCUUGGUUCUCGCAUCGAUGAAGAACGCAGCGAAUUGCGAUAUGUAAUGUGAAUUGCAGAAUUCAGUGAAUCAUCGAAUCUUUGAACGCACCUUGCACCCUCUGGCAUUCCGGAGGGUAUGCCUGUCUGAGUGUCAUUAAUCUCUCAACACAAGAAACUUUGUCUUCUUGUGCUUGGAUAUUGAAGGUUUUGCUGGCGCAAACAACUGUCAGCUCCUUUUAAAUGUAUUAGCAGAGCAGUAUGGGACUGGCCUCGGUUUGAUAAGAAACUUUAUUUAUGCUGUCGCUGGGUUUUCCUCUUUGUGCUCAGCUUCAAAUUGUCUUCGGACUGUCUCUUGAGGCAACAAAAUCUCUAUUGAUCGACCUCAAAUCAGGUAGGACUACCCGCUGAACUUAAGCAUAUCAAUAAGCGGAGGA